This 460-nucleotide ribosomal RNA is filed under the name uncultured bacterium. RNAcentral describes it as "partial 16S ribosomal RNA". It matches the Rfam family "Bacterial small subunit ribosomal RNA", at positions 338 to 795 of the family's 1533-position model. The record is from RNAcentral.
CCUACGGGAGACAGCAGUGAGGAAUAUUGCUCAAUGGGCGCGAGCCUGAACCAGCCAAGUAGCGUGAAGGAUGACUGCCCUCCGGGUUGUAAACUUCUUUUAUAGAGGAAUAAAGUGAGGCACGUGUGCCUUUUUGUAUGGACUUUAUCAAUAAGGAUCGGCUAACUCCGCGCCAGCAGCCGCGGUAAUACGGAGGGUCCGAGCGUUAUCCGGACUUAUUGGGUUUAAAGGGAGCGUCGAUGGGUCGUUAAGUCAGUUGUGAAAGUUUGCGGAGCAACCGGCCAAUUGCAAUUGAAACUGGGGGGCUGGAGUGCAGGUGAGGUAGGUGGAAUUCGAGGUGUAGCGGUGAAAUGCGUAGAUAUCACGAAGAACUCCGAUUGCGAAGGCGGCUUACUGAACUGCAACUGACAUUGAGGCUCGAAAGUGUGGGUAUCAAACAGGAUUAGAUACCCUAGUAGUC